UUUAACCUCAAAAUUCCGGACGAGAACCUGUGGCUGCAGCAGCUGCAAGCACUAAGAAGGCAAUGGCUAAAGGACCAGGAACUGAGCCCUCGCGAGCCGGUGCUGCCCCCCAGAGAAGAUAUGGCCUAUGGAGAAAUCCUGGAAUAAGUUUUUGGCAAAUAAGAUCUCUUGGAGGAACAUGGUCUAUAAGGUAUACAUAAAGAGUAUGUUUAUUUUUACUCAUGUACUUGUACCUGUCUGGAUUGUUCAUUAUUACAUGAAAUAUCAUGCGGCUAUAAAACCAUAUGCCAUCGUUCAAUUGAAGGCCAGAAAAUUCCCAGGUGAUACAACUGUGGAGACUGGAGAAGUAAUUCAACCUAUGAAAGAAUUUCCUGAUCAACAUCAUUAAAGAUUAUGUAAAAAUUUAAAA
Molecule: RNA transcript, 409 nt
Organism: Sapajus apella (tufted capuchin)
Lineage: Eukaryota; Metazoa; Chordata; Mammalia; Primates; Cebidae
Gene name: NADH dehydrogenase [ubiquinone] 1 beta subcomplex subunit 6 pseudogene
Exons: 1
Source: RefSeq, a predicted model, not a curated record